CAAUGGCCGAGAACCAACCCUUAAAGCCCCUGUUGAUGCAAAUGGAAAAGUGAUUGUUAGGUGCACAAGAGGAAUGUUUCUUGAUUAUGAGGUCAGUCACAAAGCUGUUGCUAUCAUGCGCCAAUUUUUCAAUGGUCCGUGGUUGUCAUGGAGGGAGGUCCCUACACAUGCUAAAGUUGGAAUGUGGAACAAAUUUGAGGUGAUGUAAUUAAUUUAUAUUUCUUAUCAUUAACUUUUGCCCUU
Non-coding RNA from Phoenix dactylifera (date palm), 243 nucleotides. NCBI's taxonomy places the organism in Eukaryota, Viridiplantae, Streptophyta, Magnoliopsida, Arecales, Arecaceae. The record is from RefSeq and is a predicted model, not a curated record.